This 29-nucleotide non-coding RNA is filed under the name Homo sapiens (human). Lineage: Eukaryota; Metazoa; Chordata; Mammalia; Primates; Hominidae. The record is from RNAcentral.
UACUAAGGCAGGUAGUCCCAAUAUGUGGC